This 7441-nucleotide long non-coding RNA is filed under the name Malus domestica (apple). RNAcentral's name for it is "long non-coding RNA (MDOM_LNC001479)". The record is from RNAcentral. Lineage: Eukaryota; Viridiplantae; Streptophyta; Magnoliopsida; Rosales; Rosaceae.
UUUUCAAGCAAACUGAUGUAUGUUUUAAAACUUUAAUAAAGUAGCUAAAGUGAUUGAUGUUGUAAAGGUGAAUGGAUGGCUGGCCAAUAACCCAUUCAUUUUCUUUUACUAUGCUGCUUGUGACUUGCUUCUAUAUAAGCAAGCCUUAUGAAACACAACAAAGAUAGAUGAAUGUGAAGGGUUCACGGGAAAGAAAGAGAGGAAGGAAGGAAGAGGAAGAGAGAGAAGGAAGAGGAAGAGAGAAAAUAGAAGAAGAUAAGAGGAGAUAAUAGAGAGAGUUAUCUUUGUACUCCUAUUAUUAUAAAUUAUAAUGAAAGCACCACUGCUGCCCCGAGGACGUACUCCAGUCACACUGACUGUAGAGGAACCUCGUAAAAUUUGUGUCUUGUUUCAUUUAUUCCACUGCACCCACAGUCGAUUUUACAACACGUUAUCAGCACGAGAAGCUCUCAUGUCAGUGGAAAGCACAACGCCACAAAUCCUGUUCACCUCCUUCAGCUGGAAUCUCACAGAAGCAAAAGAGUAAAAGACUAAAAAUUUGCAAGAGAAUUUGACAGCCAUGUAAAUAGCCUCGGAACUCCAACUUGCGGACCUCGGAUUGAAAUACUUUCUUCUUGAAAGUUGUUCGUCUGCUCAGUAUCUACAACAUAUCAAAAUUUCAGAAAAUGUUAACGGUGCGAUCGUGGCAGAUGUCUGAAAUACCAAACCAGUUUCCAAUUUCCGCAGAAAACUGGGCAGCCACCUUAUGAGUACCAAAACUCCAUUUCGGUAGCUCAAAUCGAUAUUGUUUCUUCACGAAAGUUGUUUGGUAUCCUCUUAUCCAUAUCAUACUAAAUUUUGAACUAAAUCUAACGGUUUGAUCUUCUCAUAAGUUGCAGACACUCUUGACUCCAAAACUUAUGGGAACCGUUUCGACUUUUUCGAAACUCACCGGAGGAGGAACCCCAAUUGGAACUUAUUGUUACUAUUAUUUACUGAGUAACCAAAAUGACUUCGAACUGUGAAAUAAUAAUAAAAAUAAAAGGGAUGAAACAAAAGAAGUGGUAGACCAAGAAAAUGAAAAAGCAAAACAUGAGGACUUAAUCAUUGCAUUUUCUGUUUUGGCAUAUUUAUGUGCAUGGUGUUGGUUUAAAGCCCAUGUCACAAGUUCUAUUUAUUUAAAGCAAUUUAUUUAUAGUGGGUAGAAUUAUUACCCUUUGCUUUAAAGCUUUGAUAUUUAUGUGAAUGGUGCUGAAUCAAAGCCCUUGUCACAAGCUUUAUUUACUUUAAAGCAAUUUAUUUACCAUGGACGGUUUUACCGCCUAUUGCUUUAAGUUUUGAUGGUGCUGAAUUAAAGCCCUUGUCACAAAUUUUAUUUACUUAAAUGCAAUUUAUUCAUUAUGGCUGGAAUUACCGUCUAUUGCUUUAAUUUAUUUAUUGUACUUAUCUUUUGUUACUAUGAGUAUAUACAGGACCUGAAGUUCCUUGAUCAGAUCAGAACCUGCAGUUUUUUGAUCCUCAUCAUAUAAAAUGAUUGGACCCGAAGUUCCAUCAUACAAAAGGAUCUAGCAUGAAGUCCCUUGAUCCUGAAGAUCAGGACAUGAAGUUCCUAGAUGAGUACCAUAAGUUUGAAGUGCCGCAGUGCUUUAACUUAAUUGUAAUAAAAGCCAUAAGAGUCUCAGUUUACAGACUAUUAAAUAAGGACCAGAAGUUCCUUAUGUCCAUACUCAAAAUGGUUUAGCAGAAGCCUUUAUUAAGCGAAUGAAAUCAAUUACCAACGCUCUGCUCAUGAAAAUGAAAUUGCCAAUUUUCUACAUGGGAACAUGUAAACUUUACAUGAUGCAUUAUUAAUUCGGUUGAGACAUGUUACCAACCAUCAAUACUUCUCAGUACAACUCGUGUUUGGAAACCAGCCAAGCAUUAUACUUUCAUGAGUUUUUGGUUGUGUUGUCUAUGUGCCUGCAAGAUUGCCACAACGUACUGAAAUGAGGUAUCAUCGUAGAUUAGGCAUUGAUGUUGAGCACCAUCUAUCAUUCAAUAUUUGGAACCCUUGACUGGGGAUAUGUCUACCGCAUGAUUUGCGGACUAUGAUUUUGAUAAGACAGUUUUCCCGUCAUUAGGGGGAGAAAAUAACAUUGUUCCAAAAGAACGAUGAGAAAAUAUCAUUCCAGAAGAAUGAUAAGAAAAGACCGUUCCAGAAGAACGAAGAGAAUUUGUCUUAUUUUGAUUCACGAAGCAAUCAACAUGAAAAUGAAGUAAGAAUAAUUGAAUGAUGCAACGAUAUAUCAAUAAAAUGCCAGAUGCAUUUAAUGAUGCAAGAAAGUGAUGAAAACACAUAGAUUUGCUGCAAAUGUGCCUACAAGAAUUAGCGAGGCAGUAAAUGAUUUCUCUGUUACACGCCUGAAGCGUGGCAGACUUUUAGACUCAAAAGGUUUAGUUAUUUGAAAGAAGAAGAAUAUGGCACUACUAAACUAUUGCAUGCCAGAAGCAUGACAGUUGUCACAUGGAUAUACGUCCCAGAUAUGACAAUCCGCGGACAUGGGAAUGUUGAUGUCUCAUGCAUAUAGCAUGAUAGACGUAUAGGUUCCAAUGACUCAACUCCCAAAAGUGGAGGUUAAAAUCUAAGCUCCAUAACACUCAAAAUGAGGUUAUGAUUCGAAUUCUCUAAAUUACGACUAUCCUGGAAGAGAUAGUGCCAUGCCCUUGAAGAGGCAAUGGAUAUCCAAAAGAAAUGAAAAGCUUUUAUGCAUGCGCAUGCACAUGAGAAUAUGGGAUCACGGAUUGAUGAUAACCAAUGGUAAUUUUGGUUUUUACAAGUAGCUACUAAAUUCAUCAAUGAGCUGUAUUAAUAUUGAGUCACGCUCUUUUGUUCGUCGACAAAAAGGAAAAUUAUUGGCCAAAAAAAUGGAGAAAGGCAAUUCCAUUACAAUUUUGUAAGAACGUGGAAAAAUUGACCUAUAUAUUUGAAUGUAAUACAAAUAGCCAAAGGAUGUUGAACCAAUGAGAUUAUAUAUGGGCAUUUGUAAUACAGUGUAAUACACUUACAUGAUAUGACACAAGGUUGUAAACGAGUUCAUAUAAAUGGAGAAUUAUAUAUGAAGGGUUGUGAGUCACCCACAUCAUAUCUCCAUAAGUAAAUCCCUCAAAUAUACAUGGGAGCAAAUUGCUCUGUAUAAAUUCCAAAGGAAAAUGUGUCAUGAAGUGUAGAAAAUCUCUGAAGGAUUCAAAUUGCUUGAAGUAAGCCCCCGAAGGGUAAAGCAUAAAUUAUGAACUCAAUAUCAAUGGAUGAUAUAAAUUGCCUUAGUGAGUACUAUCAUUAUGAUAUUGUUGCAACAUACUAAAAUCUCUUGCAAGAGUCAAUGACAUUAAAUUAUAACUCUUGAAGAGUUGAUGAUAUUAAAUUGGGACUCUUGAAGAGUCUAGAAAAAUUAUAAAGUGUUGAAGGAAUUAUUGUCUCGAGCUGCAGAUCGAACAAUCUACCAACACGAAUCUUAUCCAUGAUAUUUAUGAUAUUAAAAGAACCAUAUGGAUUGAAGAUUAUGAGUUGAAUACUCAUAUGAUGAAGACACUAAGAAUAAUCAUUUAUCUUCGUGAGGGUAAAGAUAAAUUAAUAUUUGGUCCAGAAGUACCACAUCUUAGUGAAGUAUAUGCUUUAUUGUAUUUGGCACAAUACAUUGAAUGAAAUAAAGCUUAUUUAUUAAUAUCUCCAAGAAAUUACAGAUAUAUACAUACACAUGAGUUAAAACAAACAAACAAGAUGGAGCCUUCACAAAGGUUACUCAUGUGCAGCCUCAGUACUCGAAAGUACCCCAGAAGGGGGAGGCACUGGAGAUUGAUCAUGUGGCACCCCAGUACUUAGCAAAACACCAGAAGGGGAAGGCAUCAGUUGCUUUCGGAAUCUAGCAACGAACCUUUGGUGAUCACUUUGAAUCCAACUUUCGGAUUCUUGCAGUUGGUCGAGCUUUCUUUUCAUGCUCGUAGAGUAACUAUUUGCAAGCACGUGUAACACCCUAUUCUCGUGCUUGAGCCCUCUGAUCUCUUGUUUAAGACUUGCCACCUCCGCCAUCAAUGAUUUAAUUUGGCGAGUUUGAGCAAGUAGGCGUUGGCCCAUAUUGGACACAGAGCCAGCACACUGAACACUGAGAGCCAAGGAGUCUUGAACGGCCGACUCUUCAGACCGUUCUGAAAGGAUCUUGUUAUCCCUUGGAGUGAGAAGAUUCCUAGCUACCACAGUAGCAGUUAUGUUAUUCUUCAUCACAGAGUCCCCAACCGUAAGAGGACCAUUAGAAGAUGAGAAGGACGGGCGCCAUAUAUUAUCCUGACCAUGCUCAUCUGUAUCACUCCUAAGACUCAAAUCUAAGCAAAUGUUAGAUGGGCAAGUCAUUUUUCAGAAAUGAUGAAGGAAAAACAGAGGUCAAAUAAAAUUUCAGAAGUGCAAGAUAGAGGAAAUUUCUACAGGCAGCAACUUUCUGAGCAUACUCUUGAACACAAUUGAUGUCUCUAUAAAAGAAGAGGCAGCAGAGCCACUUGUUCAAAGAUCGAAGAGGCACCGCUCUCCGAAUUUCAAAAGCCAGAUUUUCCUGAAUAAAGUUCGUUGGCAUUUUUCAGACGUAAUCCCAACUUUUUCAGAUGUCGCGUGCAAUUUUGUCAAAGAUCUCUGACAAAGUUGAAAACGCGUAAAUCUUACUGUUCUAUUUACACCACAGUUGCUGACAAGAGUAAAAGCACAGCACCACCACUUGCUAUUGAGAAAUCUCUAUAUAUGUCGACCUCUGUUCUCCAUAACAAGGCAGACCUGCAACACUGCAAGAAUACCUAACUCUUCCUCAUCUCCGAGAAUGCAUCUUCAACAUAGCAUCUCGAAAUACUCAGUUUUCUUCCUCUCCGAGAAUACUUCUUCAAACAUGUCACACCAGAGCAAGAUUAUCACAUAUCUUCAGGGACCAGAGCAAGAUUAUCUCAUAUCAUGCAAUCUCCCUGUCCUUUCCUUUGUCCAUGUUCUUGCCUGCAAAGACAAGGAUAAGGAAAUCAAUAUGUCGGAACCUCCACUCAAACUCCCGGUAAGGAACCGAUUGCCUGGAACCUUUCCUGAUUGCUUACCUAGUAUUGCUCUCGAGUAGUCAUCUUCAACGGUUGGAGUUGGGUCUCCAGUCACCAAGAAGUGAUGAACCAUCCAAAUGCAAAGGUUUGCAUUCCACUUCUGCACCAGGGGACAAAUCCUACAAGAGAAGAUGCCACAUAUGCAUAGGGGGGAAAGCAGUGAAAAUACUACUUAAGCAAAAGGAGCAAGUAAGGAAAGUGAAAAUGAUGCAUUGAAGCAUGGGGAGACAAGUGCAAUGAACAUAUGCUGAUUCAUCCCCAACUAAGCCGAAGAUCACUUGUCACGUGCAGCUCCUCAUGGUCCAAUUUCAUUCAAGAUCAAGCUUCGAAGGUCCUUAAAGAAAUUACAAGUCCGAUUCAAGAUCAAGUGUCCACCACACUUGAAUCAAAUCUGCUCCAGAUCAAAGGAGUAAAUUCAGACCUUUGGAUGCAAGUCUAGCAGAAAGUCCUACAACCCAGUUCAAGAAAAAGCCUGUGGAAAGUUAACAACAAGUAAAUCAACUCUUUCAGCAACUCUUCUUACUAAGAGACUAAAGCAGAACGAUCAACGAUCAACCUAAAUGAUUUGAAAUCAGGGGGAGAUACUCAUCAGGAGGAGCAUUCAAAACAGAUCAAGAUUUUAACGAGUCAAUAGAAGACUUGUGGCCAUCCAAGGGGGAGUGUUGUAAAGGUGAAUGGAUGGCUGGCCAAUAACCCAUUCAUUUUCUUUUACUAUGCUGCUUGUGACUUGCUUCUAUAUAAGCAAGCCUUAUGAAACACAACAAAGAUAGAUGAAUGUGAAGGGUUCACGGGAAAGAAAGAGAGGAAGGAAGGAAGAGGAAGAGAGAGAAGGAAGAGGAAGAGAGAAAAUAGAAGAAGAUAAGAGGAGAUAAUAGAGAGAGUUAUCUUUGUACUCCUAUUAUUCUAAAUUAUAAUGAAAGCACCACUGCUGCCCCGAGGACGUACUCCAGUCACACUGACUGUAGAGGAACCUCGUAAAAUUUGUGUCUUGUUUCAUUUAUUCCACUGCACCCACAGUCGAUUUUACAACAAUUGAGAACUUAUUUACUUUCUUAAUUGUUGAACGGAUGCAAUUGAGGACAUAGCGAUCCUGUAUUGAUUAGAUGAUGACAGAUUUAUCAUUUGAAGUUUGAGAUUUUUUUUUUUUUUCCAGUACAAGCAAUAUUCUAAGAAGGAGACGGUUUAAAAUUUAAUUUGAGAGGUAGUGGGUUUAAAAUAAAGUCUUGAAAUUUGAAUAUUUCGGCUAUUUCCCAAGUCUUUUGAUUUUUUAUAUACUCAUCUUUUGUUAAUGUCCUUUUUUUUUUAUGUAUAUCUCACUCACACCACAAAUGUUUUCCAUCGAAGCGAUAUUGGGAGGACUACUUGAAUGCAUGACCUGGAAAAUGUUCAUAACCUCAAUACAAUCUUUGACUCUCUAAGACCAUUAAUUAAGUCAUUAGAUUAUGUUGUUGUGACACUGAACUUGAUCUAUAAAAUCAUUCUCUCAAUUUAGCGUUUAAGUAUUUUUUGAAAGAAAUUUAGAGCUGAUAUGAUCUAUGUAAUUUCUCCCUGAAUGUGUAAAUUGAUAUUUAUGUCCUUGUUGGCAAAGUGACGUGGAUGUAUUAUUCAGCGUUUAUUUUAUUUUUCCUAGUAGCGUAAUUAAAUAGUACUCGUCGUUACGAUCGCGUGAGGGCGAGUUAGACCCGAAUCGGAGUUGUAACGAAAAAAUUACGCUCAGUCAAAGUACAUUAAUAGCGAGUAGAAUUGUAGAUGCGUGCGUGUUAAUUAUUCAAUGUGGGAAACACUGUUUUUAACAAGGGGAUAGAUUUUUUGAGUACUUUUACAAUGCAAAUCUGAAAAGCCCUAUCUUCUCUUCUUUUUAAAUUGGACAUGUGUCCCCCAUUUCACUCACAACCAAUCAUUUUCCAUCAUUUCACUCUUCACCAAUCAACAUUUGUCCACAAUUCCCUCACCAAUCAGAGAACCCACGCCUCACACCUCUCCCCCAAUCACAGACUACUCCCUCGCUCUCUCAGUCUCUCUCUUCUCAUUCUCUGUCACCGAAACUCUCCAUUUCCCUACAACCCUCUAGAAUGACGUCAAAACUUUACAAAUCGAACUCCAUAUCACAUUCAUCGUGUUCCUCUCAUCAUCACAAAUCCAGUCAUACCAACCGAUCACAAAAUGACGAGUUUUAACCCAUCAACUCGGAAGGUCCGACUUCGUGAGUUUUCCCUCCGACAAGUUUCAGGCUGAGUUACAAGAUUUUAGGACAUGGGGAAGCUUCUACACAACUCCCUAAGAUCUCUAGACUAAGUUUGGAAUCAAGUCGACGUCGAAACAAGCGAGUUCGAGGAGUUGAGUUUUAGGGCGAGACUUUCGA